UAGAUUUCCCUCCUCUUGACCUUACAGAAAUGUAGUGAAGAUUCUCUUAAAAAGAGUCUUUAUGAAGCAAGUCCUAUCUGGAGUCAUCACCAAGUUUCAUGUGGGAAUGGGAAAAUAACUCUCCAAAGGCCUCUGUCAAAUAAAAAUGUUUAACUCUGAACCCUGCUUCCCAAAGGACAUGCAGAAGGCUAUGGAUGAGACAAUGGAAGUCUUAAUACAACUACAGACAUACAAAAAGCUGAAGAAACACCACCAACACACAAUGAGGAAAGACUUACUUGAGAGAUUUAGUGGUCGGACCUAUUAUGAGAAAUGUUUAUCGUGUUCCCAGAAAAACUGCAGUAAUAUCAGUCUAACUCCAUCUUACAGCAGGAAAGUUGCCACUUUGAGUGUGGGCACCGUUCUAAUCAUCGGAAUAUGGUGCUGCCUUCUGAUCUAUAUCUAUUUGAACCCUAAUGCCAUCAAGGACACUCUCCCUACAAUAUGCAGUCACAGAACUCAUCAGCACCUUCGUUUCAUCCUCUCCCCACUUCUUGAGCACAUAAAGGGUUUACUUCCCUCUUAGUCUCCACUAUUUUUUUUCUCCAGGAGAUUAAAGUCUUCAUUUACCACAAGAUAAGUGUGAUCUUUGUCUGGUUUUGGGGGAGGAGGGAUUGUAUUUCCCUCCAUCAUGUACAUGCACCAUGUCUUAUUACAGGAACUGGGGCAAUUGUUUCUUCUCCCUUUCCUAGCUUUCUACUUCUCUUCAAUUAGUCUAUACAUUUGUUGAUGGAAGAGUUCCAGUCAGUCGACCAGCAACCCAGGAAGUCAACAGUCAACAUGUCAGUCAGUCAGAUAGGGAAUGACAGCCAAUCAGUCAGCCAGCCAG
RNAcentral lists this long non-coding RNA (868 nucleotides) under Phascolarctos cinereus (koala). RNAcentral's name for it is "lncRNA (ENSPCIG00000026572.2)". The record is from RNAcentral. Lineage: Eukaryota; Metazoa; Chordata; Mammalia; Diprotodontia; Phascolarctidae.